This 352-nucleotide unclassified non-coding RNA is filed under the name soil metagenome. Its description in RNAcentral is "partial contains 5.8S ribosomal RNA, internal transcribed spacer 2, and large subunit ribosomal RNA". The stretch from base 1 to 120 matches the Rfam family "5.8S ribosomal RNA", at positions 35 to 154 of the family's 154-position model. The record is from RNAcentral.
GAUGAAGAACGCAGCGAAAUGCGAUAAGUAAUGUGAAUUGCAGAAUUCAGUGAAUCAUCGAAUCUUUGAACGCACAUUGCGCCCGCCAGUAUUCUGGCGGGCAUGCCUGUUCGAGCGUCAUUUCAACCCUCAGGCCCCCAGUGCCUGGUGUUGGGGAUCGGCCCAGCCUUCCUGUAAGGCCGCCGGCCCCGAAAUCUAGUGGCGGUCUCGCUGUAGUCCUCCUCUGCGUAGUAGCACAGCCUCGCAGUUGGAACGCGGCGGUGGCCAUGCCGUUAAACACCCCACUUCUGAAAGUUGACCUCGGAUCAGGUAGGAAUACCCGCUGAACUUAAGCAUAUCAAUAAGCGGAGGA